Osmia bicornis bicornis is the source of this 2749-nucleotide long non-coding RNA. RefSeq lists it as uncharacterized. Lineage: Eukaryota; Metazoa; Arthropoda; Insecta; Hymenoptera; Megachilidae. The transcript has 6 exons. The record is from RefSeq and is a predicted model, not a curated record.
CAUCCCACGUCAAAAUUUAUUAUUUCUUAAGAGCUGCGACCCCGAAUAGCAGGUGACUAAACUAAAACAUUUAAUCGAAACCGAACACCACGUCAUUCAGGAUCAAAUUAUCAAGAUACAACUUAUACGAAUGGUCUGAUAAGGGAAGAUGUACUAAUAAAAUGAAAUAAAGCCAAAGUGUGAGCGACCAAAGUCCGAUGCAGUUUACAUAAUGAUAGGCUUCAGAAAAGUCAGUACACAACAUCCUAACCUACAAACUAAUAUGUCGGCCCUUAAGGAGUUAGUUUGCACCGAUCAGUACAGAGAUUAAAUUAAGUUAACACCAUUUAUAAAAAUUAAAAUUAGAAUUUAUCAGAAAGUAACAUUGUUCAUUAAUCAUAUGAAUCGCACACUCACACGUAUACAUACACACAGUCACAAAUAAGACAAGGGCAGUCUACAGUGACGUAACUUGAUUAAACAACAUUAAGAUGCUGUCAGAUAAUAAUGUGAGUAAUAACAGUCCAUUAGGGAUAAUAAUAUAACUUCAAAUCCACAGGUCAACCCGGAAUGUCGUUUAAAUAUUUACUUGAUGAAGAUAUGGCAAAGAAGCUAUCACUGUGACUAUUAUAGCGAUGAAAUACACAAAGGUGAAACUGAAAACAGGAUUAACAGAAACUAUCAGGAUGGGAAUAGCCAAAAUCAAAGAGAGGAAACAUAGCACACCUGAUCACGCUCAAACUAUCAUCAGACCCUCAACCGCUCGGGGAGACCAAUGCAACCACAAAACCGACCUCAGCAAUUACCCCAAGAAUGCUACCAAGGACGAAGCGAAUAAGUAAGCAAAUAGCAUGCAUUAACCCCGUUAGCAAAAGAAGAAGAGGAAGAAGUAAAGACGGAAAGAGCCAGCCACCGUAUUGUCUACAAAAACACUCAUUCGCUGUACCAGAUCCAGUAACCAAUCAUUCAUAGAAGAUAAGACAACAUCCCUUUAUCACAUGAUCGACUAGGAAUUGGAAAUUUAAGUUCGGUACUAAGAACCGAAAACACAUCGGCAAAGAAAAGUCAAUCAAUCAAGGGAAAGAAAUCAGCAUGAUGAGCAGCAACAGCAAAGUGUCGUCACUCAGUCAUGAUCACAAAAGGUAUCUUAAAAUAGAAAUAACCAGAGGAUCAACGGGCUACAUCAGAAUACAAUUAAGCAUACAAUCAAAUAUGCAAUCAAGUGCGACAAGAAAAAACCACCCAGGUGGCUCCUAUGAUCAGCCCAGUUCCAAGAGGCAGAACUACUUAGGUCAAUGUAAUAAUUCAAAUACUUAGGGCGAACAUAACAAAAUCAAAUCAAAAUCAAUUAUCAAUUACGAGGAAAGAAUAUUUGUCAUUCAUAUCACCGUCAUUAUCAAUGUCAUCCCAGAUCGACCAUCCACAAAGCCAUCAUCAGCACCCGCAUUACCAAAAAGACCAAGGCCAUAACAGAGAGCAAUCUUCAGCAGUUACCUCAAAAGGCAUAGUCGACAAUAAAUGGACAAGCGAGCGAACGGGCAUGAAUUAAUCCAAUUGAGGGAAGAAGGAUAGAAAGAAAGUCUAUAAGAGACAAAAGAAGUAAAAGAAAAAGGGGGAACGGAAAAACGGGGAAUCUGUAUAUCCCAGGCAGGCAAGGUAUAUAAUUGAAAAGAAAUUGCAUCAAAUCAGUUGCAUAGAGAAAGAGAGCUACCAGUCCCCAUCACACAGUCAAUCAACAAUCUAGGGACAAACAGCAAAGGCACACCAACAAGAAGAAUAAUGUUGAAAAGCGUACCACCGUGAAUCAUGACAAAGUGUACAUAUAAAAGGAACUUGAAAUUAACAAAACUCAAGGAAGAUAUUGGCAGCAAACGAUGAUGACACAGUCACCGACUAAGAUAAGAAACAUCCAAGCUGUCUGUCCGUGCAACUGCAUGCCAAGGGGAAAGCCCAUUCCCCACUAUGGGAAGAGCCACAACCCCGUUGUAUAAACUUUAAACUCAAAGAAAAGCAAUGCGUAGCAGUGCUCGCACACCCAAUCCGCCAGUCAAACAGGGUUAGAGUUUGCAUCAGGCCAAAUAAAGCAAUCAAGCAAUCACCAGUUUAAUAAAUUAAUAAAUUAAUAUUACUUAUGCACUGCAUAAAAUCCUACAAGGGAGAUGCACUUGCGAAAAAAGGGGGGUUAAGAGUUACCAUAGCAGCUCCUGAAAGUAAUAUAUCGCCGGGAGUCCCGAUAGUGAGUAGAAUGUACAAACUGUAAGAUACAAUCGUGAUAAAGCCAGUCAAUGUCGGGUCCCACUCACACGCACCAUUUACUCAACUAUCAAUUACAGAAUAUGACUUAAAAUAAAGCAAGAAGGCUUGACAUAAAAGCAAGGUGAAAACAGGAUGAAGCAUACUGUAAGUAUCUCGUCCCAUAAUAAUGCACAAGCACCCAUAAACGAGAGUGUAACUAUAAACAAGAGUAUUCAGCAGCAGACAGAAGGAAAAGCGAGACUGACCAGUACGGGCGAUCACAAAUCAGAAGCAAAAAAGCAUAAGACGUAAAGGCAAAAGUAAAAGAAACUAAUUCGCCCUUACAGGAUUGAAUCAGUCAAGCUUAUAAACCAUAUCCAAUUCAGUGACGCAACCAUACGAUAAUUACAAAGGAAGAGAGUGUGCAGAAACAUGAACAUCACAGCAAUGAGAAUGAUGCUACAUCACUUCUAAUAACAGAAGAACAGGAAAAAACGACGACAGACCAAGCGCAAUUAAUCGAUGUAUUUGAAAU